UACUAAGAAGAUAUACAAAUGGCUAGU
This 27-nucleotide non-coding RNA is filed under the name Homo sapiens (human). Lineage: Eukaryota; Metazoa; Chordata; Mammalia; Primates; Hominidae. The record is from RNAcentral.